Long non-coding RNA from Zea mays, 143 nucleotides. RefSeq lists it as uncharacterized. The transcript has 3 exons. NCBI's taxonomy places the organism in Eukaryota, Viridiplantae, Streptophyta, Magnoliopsida, Poales, Poaceae. The record is from RefSeq and is a predicted model, not a curated record.
CCUUUAGGAGGCACAACUUGAUGGCAAUGUAGUCACAGAUUUGCCAAGUGAUCCUAUAUUGCACAACAUGAGAACUCGAAGGGUUCAAGCUGCCAGCAUGGGCAUAUCAGAAUCAAGACAAAAGCAAGUCUACCUUAUUUCAC